CCUUACAUGUCCUGCCUUCCCGAACCAAACGGAGUCAAGGUACAAGACACGAGGGGGAUUUACAAGCGUCAGGGAGGAUAGUAGAACACUCUGUGACUUACCACCCUGGAUGCAUUGUUGAAGGUGAAUGACGAAUUGAACUGUUUUUAGUAAUUAAUUUUACUUUAAAGUCGAAGUUUAUAAUUUCCUUUUCAAUCUGCUAGACUCAAAUCAUAUUGGUAGGCAAAUGAUUGUAAACAUGAAUCAAUAAUCAUAUUUACUACAUAAUUUGCAAUUCUGACAGCGUCAUCGAUCAUUUUCCAAAGGCAACUUUCCCAUGGCGAAACUUCAUUCUACUAGUUAACAAAAUGUAGGUGUAAUACCCAAUUUUGCCCGGACUCAAUUAAAUAAGCACAAAAAAAUCAAAAAAUCAAAAUAAUAAAACAGUCCAGUU
RNAcentral lists this long non-coding RNA (433 nucleotides) under Gossypium raimondii (Peruvian cotton). Its description in RNAcentral is "long non-coding RNA (GRAI_LNC000641)". Lineage: Eukaryota; Viridiplantae; Streptophyta; Magnoliopsida; Malvales; Malvaceae. The record is from RNAcentral.